RNAcentral lists this ribosomal RNA (253 nucleotides) under uncultured bacterium. Its description in RNAcentral is "partial 16S ribosomal RNA". It matches the Rfam family "Bacterial small subunit ribosomal RNA", at positions 524 to 776 of the family's 1533-position model. The record is from RNAcentral.
GACAGAGGCCUCGAGCGUUAGGCGGAAUCACUGGGCUUAAAGCGUGUGUAGGCGGGCCCGUAAGUGUCUUGUGAAAUCCCACGGCUCAACCGUGGAACUGCUGGGCAUACUGCGGGUCUUGGGCCAACUAGGGGCAGCCGGAACAAGCGGUGGAGCGGUGAAAUGCGUAGAUAUCGCUUGGAACGCCGAAGGUGAAAACAGGCUGCUGGGGUUGCGCCGACGCUGAGGCGCGAAAGCCAGGGGAGCAAACGGG